UACGUAGGAGGCGAGCGUUGUCCGGAGUUACUGGGCGUAAAGGGUGCGCAGGCGGCCGCGCGCGUGGGUGGUGAAAUCUCCCGGCUCAACUGGGAGGGGGCCAUCCAGACGGCGUGGCUUGAGGGUCGCAGAGGGGCGUGGAAUUCCGGGUGGAGCGGUGAAAUGCGUAGAGAUCCGGAGGAACACCGACGGCGAAGGCAGCGCCCUGGACGACACCUGACGCUCAGGCACGAAAGCUGGGGGAG
Molecule: ribosomal RNA, 245 nt
Filed under: uncultured bacterium
Lineage: Bacteria
Description: partial 16S ribosomal RNA
Rfam family: Bacterial small subunit ribosomal RNA
Source: RNAcentral